Molecule: small RNA, 184 nt
Filed under: Sphenodon punctatus (tuatara)
Lineage: Eukaryota; Metazoa; Chordata; Lepidosauria; Sphenodontia; Sphenodontidae
Description: TUC338 (ENSSPUG00000004982.1)
Source: RNAcentral
GGGACAACACGGGAAACAAGUCCUCCAUUUAUCCAGAAAACAGGUGUAGCACGGACAGUGGCAGAGCAAGCUUCCCCACACUGCCCUAUAAAUACGCCCUUUAAUGAAAAAUGUGCCUUAAACUUAGCCAAGAGGGACCACAUUUAUAGAGGGGAGAUGCUGAGCUGUUUCUGUAUAGGAUACU